Molecule: ribosomal RNA, 767 nt
Filed under: uncultured bacterium
Lineage: Bacteria
Description: bacterial SSU rRNA
Rfam family: Bacterial small subunit ribosomal RNA
Source: RNAcentral
AGAGUUUGAUCCUGGCUCAGGACGAACGCUGGCGGCGCGCCUAAUACAUGCAAGUCGAACGGAAUGGUUCUUCGGAAUCAUUCAGUGGCGGACGGGUGAGUAACGCGUGAGUAACCUGCCUUUCAGUGGGGGAUAACGGUUGGAAACGACCGAUAAUACCGCAUAACGUAUCGAGGUGACAUCACCAUGAUACCAAAGGAGCAAUUCGCUGAAAGAUGGACUCGCGUCCGAUUAGCCAGUUGGCGGGGUAACAGCCCACCAAAGCUACGAUCGGUAGCCGGACUGAGAGGUUGAACGGCCACAUUGGGACUGAGACACGGCCCAGACUCCUACGGGAGGCAGCAGUGGGGAAUAUUGCACAAUGGAGGAAACUCUGAUGCAGCGACGCCGCGUGAGGGAAGAAGGUUUUCGGAUUGUAAACCUCUGUCCCUGGUGACGAUAAUGACGGUAACCAGGGAGGAAGCCACGGCUAACUACGUGCCAGCAGCCGCGGUAAUACGUAGGUGGCAAGCGUUGUCCGGAAUUACUGGGUGUAAAGGGAGCGUAGGCGGGUACGCAAGUUGAAUGUUAAAGCUAUGGGCUCAACCCAUAGUCGCGUUCAAAACUGCGUAUCUUGAGUGAAGUAGAGGCAGGCGGAAUUCCUAGUGUAGCGGUGAAAUGCGUAAAUAUUAGGAGGAACACCAGUGGCGAAGGCGGUCUGCUGGGCUUUAACUGACGCUGAGGCUCGAAAGCGUGGGUAGCAAACAGGAUUAGAUACCCUGGUAGUC